Molecule: transfer RNA, 66 nt
Filed under: Nysius graminicola
Lineage: Eukaryota; Metazoa; Arthropoda; Insecta; Hemiptera; Lygaeidae
Description: tRNA-Tyr
Source: RNAcentral
GAUGGGGUGGCUGAAGUUUAGGUUAUAAAUUGUAAAUUUAUAUAUGAGGUUAACCCUCUCCUAUCA